RNAcentral lists this ribosomal RNA (406 nucleotides) under uncultured bacterium. RNAcentral describes it as "partial 16S ribosomal RNA". It matches the Rfam family "Bacterial small subunit ribosomal RNA", at positions 30 to 526 of the family's 1533-position model. The record is from RNAcentral.
AUUGAACGCUGGCGGCAGGCCUAACACAUGCAAGUCGGGCGAGCGGCGGGCGGGAGAGUUAUGUAUGAGGAUCUGCCUGAUGGAGGGGGAUCACUACUGGACACGGUCGCUAAUACCGCAUACCCUCAGAUGCACCCAUAUGGGUUUAGCGUGUAGGUGAGGUAACGGCUCACCUAGGCGACGAUCCCUAGCUGGUCUGAGAGGAUGAUCAGCCACACUGGGACUGAGACACGGCCCAGACUCCUACGGGAGGCAGCAGUGGGGAAUAUUGCACAAUGGGCGAAAGCCUGAUGCAGCCAUGCCGCGUGUAUGAAGAAGGCCUUCGGGUUGUAAAGUACUUUCAGUCGGGAGGCGUUACCGACAGAAGAAGCACCGGCUAACUCCGUGCCAGCAGCCGCGGUAAUAC